AGUAUUGUGUGUCUUCAGUAGGGUUGGGUAUCGUUUGGAUUUUUCCGAUUCUAAUGCCGAACUGGUACUUUUAAAACGAUUUUGAUUCCUAAACUAAAUCUUG
This is a long non-coding RNA of Etheostoma spectabile (orangethroat darter), 103 nucleotides long. RefSeq lists it as uncharacterized. The record is from RefSeq and is a predicted model, not a curated record. The transcript is spliced from 3 exons. Lineage: Eukaryota; Metazoa; Chordata; Actinopteri; Perciformes; Percidae.